AACGUAAGUGGCGAGCGUUAUUCGGAAUUAUUGGGCGUAAAGGGCGUGUAGGCGGAUAUGGAAGUCGAUGGUGAAAAGUUAGUGCUUAACAUUAAGGAUGCCAACGAUACUCUAUAACUAGAGUACGGGAAAGGAGAGCGGAACUACCAGUGUAGCGGUGGAAUGCGUAGAUAUUGGUAGGAAUGUCAAUGACGAAGGUAGCUUUCUGGACCGAUACUGACGCUGAGGCGCGAAAGCUAGGGGAG
Molecule: ribosomal RNA, 245 nt
Filed under: uncultured bacterium
Lineage: Bacteria
Description: partial 16S ribosomal RNA
Rfam family: Bacterial small subunit ribosomal RNA
Source: RNAcentral